AUAUAGGUCUUUAGGGAACUACUCAUGUUUUUUUUUUUAACUAUAAACGGACAGCAACUAAAUUCUCCUUCCACUUGGGUGAUCAAGGUUCAAAACUCAUAUAUCUCGUGCCAUCCCAAGAAGCUUUAUGGCUUUACCGCAAAAACUACUUAGGAUCUCAUUUUAAAAGUAACGCGACUACAUUUUUUAGUGCAUUCUCAUUUUAAACUUGUAAUUACAAAGAAAAAAAGAGCAAAAAUGUGCGUCUUACUUUUAUGUAUACUUAGGAACCGAUGCAACGAUUCCAUUAGUUCUAAGUAUUGGCAGAAUUUUGUUCAACAAUAUGGGAUUUUUUGAGAAAGAAUAUAUUAAGGACUCUAUAUGUUUCUAAGCUUAAUUCCAGCCAAAAUUUUGUAAGAACACUUAAAGGUUAUUUCAGACAUCUCGUGCACGUUUUAAUCUUGAAGAUUCAACAUAAUAUUGAACAUUAGGAAGAUUGAUAAGUUUUAGCUAAAUAAAAGUAUUUGAAGACUACUCGAUCGAUUCUUAAUUUAAUAUAUAUAAAGUGAGUAUUUGACACCUUAAUUUGUUAAUUAAAAACAAAAGGAUGGGUAAAGACCAGAUUCAUCUUUUAAUCUCCUUACCGUCCUAAGAAUUAAACUCGAGUGAUUAACUAAAUAAAACUGUUUUAAAAUCACCCAGCCACAUUAUUUGGGGAUAAACCAAUUAUUUUAUCUAUUGGAAGGCAACUUUUACUUGAAACAAAUAUUUUUACUUCACUGUUUGAACACAAAGGAAUGAUGAAAUGGAUUAAAAAUCUAUCAUGGACAAGGCUAAAAGGAACUAACUAAAGCGUAAGUCUCCCACAAAAAUUAUUUGAAAAUCAUUGUAAAUUAUACUCAUGCUUAUUAAAAUGAUUGAUUGCGUAAAACAAAUUUUAAUUAACAUUAUUCCGUAAGGUUUUAAUUUGCUUUGAAAUCAAUUAAACAACAGCCUCACAUUUCUUCCGAAGUUGAAUACUGCGGAUGUCUUGGGGUGGUGAUAAGCACAAAGAGAUCAUGGCAAGCUCGGCCUCCAAUCCAUUAGUAAGUUGCCUAUAGCAAUCAUCAGAGAGGUCUUCAUUCGUUCUUGAAAAAAGCAAAAAUAAUAGGGUAUUGAAAUUUAAGUAAAUUAAUUAAGGGGAGAAAAGAGGAUUAAAAGAUGAAUUUGGUCUUGGGAGAUAAGGAGAGAUAAGAUUCCACUUGAUGAUACAAGACUUGUAUAAAUAAAAGUCACUCAAGUUCGAUUCUUACUUAAAACCAUAAAAUGAAUUGCCAUAGGUGACCAAAUUCAUGUUUUGAUAAAGAUUUAAUGAAUCGAACUCGUUGUGGUAUAUAUAAUUCUACCAGAUAUCUUUCCAAAUCAACAGAUGGCACUAUAAUCAAAACGACUUAAGAGUACAAGACUUAUAUUAAUGAAAUGAUUUUAUUCAAGAGAUGUGAAG
RNAcentral lists this long non-coding RNA (1462 nucleotides) under Citrus x clementina. Its description in RNAcentral is "Citrus clementina (C. clementina) long non-coding RNA (CCLE_LNC004512)". Lineage: Eukaryota; Viridiplantae; Streptophyta; Magnoliopsida; Sapindales; Rutaceae. The record is from RNAcentral.